CUCUCUUAAGGAACCCGGCAGAGUAGGGAGGCAAAUCCCUCUAUCUUUAAGCCUGAGAGUUUAUAGCAGAAGUCAUUGUGACUUCGAGUGGUUGAUCCUACACUGCCAAGAAAAGCUUCUAUCUAGUCUUGUUGUGCCCGUACCGUAAACCGACACUGGUGGGUAGGUAGAGAAUACUAAGGCGGCGGGAUAAUCUCUCUUAAGGAACUCGGCAAAUUAGCCCCGUAACUUCGGGAGAAGGGGUGCCCUCAUUAGGUGUAGUUAUUUACUGAUGAAGCCGAAGAGGGUUGCAGUGAAAGGGCCCAAGCGACUGUUUAACAAAAACACAGGUCUCUGCGAAGCCGUAAGGCGAUGUAUAGGGGCUGACGCCUGCCCGGUGCUGGAACGUUAAGAGGAGAGCUUAGGAUUUCGGUCCGAAGGUUUGAAUCGAAGCGCCAGUAGUGAACGGCGGCCGUAACACGGCGGCCGUAACAAUAACGGUCCUAAGGUAGCGAAAUUCCUUGUCAGGUAAGUUCUGACCCGCACGAAUGGCGUAACGACUUGGGCACUGUCUCGAGAGGGAUCCCGGCGAAAUUGCAUUAUGAGUGAAGAUGCUCAUUACCCGCAGCUAGACGGAAAGACCCCGUGGAGCUUUACUGUAGCUUGAUGUUGGAUUUUGGCCAGUCCUGUACAGGAUACGAGGGAGGCUUUGAUGGUGGUACGCAAGUAUUGCCGGAGCCGUUGUUGGGAUACCUCGCUGGUCUUGCUGGAAUUCUAACUCGUGGCGUUAUCCGCUACGAGGACAGCGUCUGGUAGGCAGUUUGACUGGGGCGGUUGCCUCCUAAAGAGUAACGGAGGCGUUCAAAGGUCACCUCAGCCUGGUCGGGAAUCAGGCGUAGAGUGCAAGCGCAUAAGGUGGCUUGACUGCGAGACGUACAUGUCGAGCAGAGUGGAAACACGGAGCUAGUGAUCCGGCGGUGCCGUAUGGAAGGGCCGUCGCUUAUCGGAUAAAAGCUACCCCGGGGAUAACAGGCUUAUCGCGCCCAAGAGCUCAUAUCGACGGCGCGGUUUGGCACCUCGAUGUCGGCUCAUCGCAUCCUGGGGCUGAAGUUGGUCCCAAGGGUUGGGCUGUUCGCCCAUUAAAGCCCAUGCACUCGACCCAAGUCUUGCAGCACUCUGUCAAGCCAGGGAUAGUGCCG
This 1178-nucleotide ribosomal RNA is filed under the name Bouteloua dactyloides. RNAcentral describes it as "bacterial LSU rRNA". It matches the Rfam family "Bacterial large subunit ribosomal RNA", at positions 1507 to 2639 of the family's 2925-position model. Lineage: Eukaryota; Viridiplantae; Streptophyta; Magnoliopsida; Poales; Poaceae. The record is from RNAcentral.